RNAcentral lists this ribosomal RNA (250 nucleotides) under uncultured prokaryote. Its description in RNAcentral is "partial 16S ribosomal RNA". It matches the Rfam family "Bacterial small subunit ribosomal RNA", at positions 524 to 773 of the family's 1533-position model. The record is from RNAcentral.
UACGUAGGUGGCGAGCGUUGUCCGGAUUUACUGGGUGUAAAGGGCGCGUAGGCGGGACUGCAAGUCAGAUGUGAAAACUAUGGGCUUAACCCAUAGCCUGCAUUUGAAACUGUAGUUCUUGAGUACCGGAGAGGUUGACGGAAUUCCGUGUGUAGCGGUGAAAUGCGUAGAUAUACGGAAGAACACCAGUGGCGAAGGCGGUCAACUGGACGGCAACUGACGCUGAGGCGCGAAAGCGUGGGGAGCAAAC